RNAcentral lists this ribosomal RNA (501 nucleotides) under uncultured bacterium. RNAcentral's name for it is "bacterial SSU rRNA". It matches the Rfam family "Bacterial small subunit ribosomal RNA", at positions 1 to 507 of the family's 1533-position model. The record is from RNAcentral.
ACUACGAGUUUGAUCCUGGCUCAGAUUGAACGCUGGCGGCAUGCCUUACACAUGCAAGUCGAACGGUAACGCGGGGCAACCUGGGCGACGAGUGGCGAACGGGUGAGUAAUAUAUCGGAACGUGCCCAGUAGUGGGGGAUAGCCCGGCGAAAGCCGGAUUAAUACCGCAUACGACCUAAGGGUGAAAGCGGGGGAUCGCAAGACCUCGCGCUAUUGGAGCGGCCGAUAUCAGAUUAGGUAGUUGGUGGGGUAAAGGCCUACCAAGCCGACGAUCUGUAGCUGGUCUGAGAGGACGACCAGCCACACUGGGACUGAGACACGGCCCAGACUCCUACGGGAGGCAGCAGUGGGGGAAUUUUGGACAAUGGGCGCAAGCCUGAUCCAGCCAUGCCGCGUGCGGGAAGAAGGCCUUCGGGUUGUAAACCGCUUUUGCCAGGGGAUAAAAAGACCAUGCGUGGUCAAUUGAAGGUACCUGGUGAAUAAGCCACGGCUAACUACGUG